RNAcentral lists this ribosomal RNA (482 nucleotides) under uncultured bacterium. RNAcentral describes it as "partial 16S ribosomal RNA". It matches the Rfam family "Bacterial small subunit ribosomal RNA", at positions 30 to 507 of the family's 1533-position model. The record is from RNAcentral.
AUUGAACGCUGGCGGCAUGCUUUACACAUGCAAGUCGAACGGCAGCGCGGGGCAACCUGGCGGCGAGUGGCGAACGGGUGCGUAAUACAUCGGAACGUACCCAGAAGUGGGGGAUAACGUAGCGAAAGUUACGCUAAUACCGCAUACGUUCUACGGAAGAAAGUGGGGGACCUUCGGGCCUCAUGCUUUUGGAGCGGCCGAUGUCUGAUUAGCUAGUUGGUGAGGUAAAGGCUCACCAGGGCGACGAUCAGUAGCUGGUCUGAGAGGACGACCAGCCACACUGGGACUGAGACACGGCCCAGACUCCUACGGGAGGCAGCAGUGGGGAAUUUUGGACAAUGGGCGCAAGCCUGAUCCAGCAAUGCCGCGUGAGUGAAGAAGGCCUUCGGGUUGUAAAGCUCUUUUGUCAGGGAAGAAACGGCUGAGGAUAAUACCUUCGGCUAAUGACGGUACCUGAAGAAUAAGCACCGGCUAACCACGUG